Molecule: non-coding RNA, 1451 nt
Organism: Sus scrofa (pig)
Lineage: Eukaryota; Metazoa; Chordata; Mammalia; Artiodactyla; Suidae
Source: RefSeq, a predicted model, not a curated record
CACGAUGGGAACUCCUCAAUUUAUUUUUUUUAAAACCUGGAAAAAUAUUUAAUCUGUGGUCAAAUCAAAUUUUUAGAAAAAGCCCUGUACUAGUGCUAUGGCCAGCCAACUGGAGACAGAAUUGGGAUCAUGUCCAAGUAGGGAGGCUGAUGUUAUGGUCCAGGUGAGAGAUGAGAUGGUCCAAGCUCAGACAGUUCCAGUGAGUAUGGAGGCAGAGGACAGCUUUAGGAGGUAAUUAGUAAAUUGGGAUAACCCACUUGGCUAUAGAUGCAUGGAUAUUAAUGGAGAAAGACAAACUUAAAGGGAACAGAAGACCUUGAAGGUAUUUUUUUAUUUAGACAGGAACUACCUCUUUCUCAGAGAGGCAGCAUUCAGAGAGUAUGGCUACUUUGGGAGUGAGUUCUGGGUGGAGCCUGACUUGGGAGUUUGCAUGAGGCUCCCAGAAGCUUGGGUGCUGAGGAGGAUGCAAUAAAAAGAGGCAGAAGAGAAGGAAGCCCUGAAUGAAGAAUGGAGAGGAAUGCCCCUACAUUUUGUCACAGAUCAACCCUAGGUGGCCCUUCAGAUAAGACUUGAUAACAAUAGUAAUAAUAAAAAUAACAGCCAUAAACUAUAUAGCUCUAAGCACUUUCGGUGUAUGAGCUCAUUGAAGGAUCAUAACAACUCUAUGAGGAAACUGAGUCUGGGGGGUCAAUAACUUGUCUAAGGGAGAGUUAGUAAGGAGCAGAGCUUUGAACCUAGGCAACCAGAUUCCAGGGGCCACAAACUGAUCACUCAGCUGCUCAUUGGUCAGUUAGAGAGGACAUGAGUCCAUCAAACCCUGGAUUAGUUCUGUUUCUUUAUCUCAAAGUGAGUCACUCCUAUUCUAUCUGUACUUUAGAGAGAGGGAAGGAUGUUGUCCUUGUGUCUGGGAAUUCAGGUGAGAGUGAGUAUGUGAGGAUGGAGCUCAAGAUGAAGCGAAGGGUCCUAGGAUGCCCGCCACCCUGGCUGGACCUCUGUGGGAUGACCUGAUCCCAUGUGAGGAAAUGCUGUCUGGUCAGAUCUAAAGAUGAUGUUAUGGAACCUGUGUCUUUCCUCAUAACAGCCCACUCCUGGAAAUGGUGGGCAGCCAAGAUGACAAAGGAGAAGAUUAGAGGCAAUGGAGACCUCACCAAGCCAUGGACCUGGAAGAUGAAAAGUCCUGCUCUCUCUCUCAUUCUCCAUGUGUGGGGACGGGUGUCAAGCAUCCUGAAAAAGACCCGAGGACCGGGUGGUGGAACGCUGCUGCAGACCUGGACUAUUUUCACUGGAUUCUGAGUGAGCGAGUGCAGAGCUCAAACUCUCAACUUCGAAGGAGAGGAUGUAGGCCUGCGUGCGGUUGCUGAUUUCUCUGGGAGCUUCAUGAAGCUCAUUCUGGGAAAGAUGAAAAAAACCUGGAAGCCGGAAUCAACUGCUUCUAGAACUGCUGCUGCCAG